Molecule: ribosomal RNA, 748 nt
Filed under: uncultured Ruminococcus sp.
Lineage: Bacteria; Bacillati; Bacillota; Clostridia; Eubacteriales; Oscillospiraceae
Description: bacterial SSU rRNA
Rfam family: Bacterial small subunit ribosomal RNA
Source: RNAcentral
GAUGAACGCUGGCGGCGUGCCUAACACAUGCAAGUCGAGCGAAGCACUUUGCUUAGAUUCUUCGGAUGAAGAGGAUUGUGACUGAGCGGCGGACGGGUGAGUAACGCGUGGGUAACCUGCCUCAUACAGGGGGAUAACAGUUAGACAUGACUGCUAAUACCGCAUAAGACCACAGCACCGCAUGGUGCGGGGGUAAAAACUCCGGUGGUAUGGGAUGGACCCGCGUCUGAUUAGCUAGUUGGUAAGGUAACGGCUUACCAAGGCGACGAUCAGUAGCCGACCUGAGAGGGUGACCGGCCACAUUGGGACUGAGACACGGCCCAAACUCCUACGGGAGGCAGCAGUGGGGAAUAUUGCACAAUGGGGGAAACCCUGAUGCAGCGACGCCGCGUGAGCGAAGAAGUAUUUCGGUAUGUAAAGCUCUAUCAGCAGGGAAGAAAAUGACGGUACCUGACUAAGAAGCACCGGCUAAAUACGUGCCAGCAGCCGCGGUAAUACGUAUGGUGCAAGCGUUAUCCGGAUUUACUGGGUGUAAAGGGAGCGUAGACGGAUGGGCAAGUCUGAUGUGAAAACCCGGGGCUCAACCCCGGGACUGCAUUGGAAACUGUUCAUCUAGAGUGCUGGAGAGGUAAGUGGAAUUCCUAGUGUAGCGGUGAAAUGCGUAGAUAUUAGGAGGAACACCAGUGGCGAAGGCGGCUUACUGGACAGUAACUGACGUUGAGGCUCGAAAGCGUGGGGAGCAAACAGG